RNAcentral lists this ribosomal RNA (279 nucleotides) under uncultured bacterium. Its description in RNAcentral is "partial 16S ribosomal RNA". It matches the Rfam family "Bacterial small subunit ribosomal RNA", at positions 506 to 784 of the family's 1533-position model. The record is from RNAcentral.
UGCCAGCAGCCGCGGUAAUACGAAGGGACCUAGCGUAGUUCGGAAUUACUGGGCUUAAAGCGCGCGUAGGCGGUGUGUUAAGUCGGAUGUGAAAGCCCAGGGCUCAACCUUGGAAUUGCAUCCGAUACUGGCACGCUAGAGUGCAGUAGAGGGAGGUGGAAUUUCCGGUGUAGCGGUGAAAUGCGUAGAGAUCGGAAGGAACACCAGUGGCGAAGGCGGCCUCCUGGACUGACACUGACGCUGAGGUGCGAAAGCGUGGGGAGCAAACAGGAUUAGAUA